Molecule: ribosomal RNA, 654 nt
Filed under: uncultured Bacteroides sp.
Lineage: Bacteria; Pseudomonadati; Bacteroidota; Bacteroidia; Bacteroidales; Bacteroidaceae
Description: bacterial SSU rRNA
Rfam family: Bacterial small subunit ribosomal RNA
Source: RNAcentral
CAUGGUCUUAGCUUGCUAAGGCCGAUGGCGACCGGCGCACGGGUGAGUAACGCGUAUCCCACUCUGCCGUCUACUCUUGGACAGCCUUCUGAAAGGAAGAUUAAUACAAGAUGGCAUCAUGAGUUCACAUGUUCACAUGAUUAAAGGUAUUCCGGUAGACGAUGGGGAUGCGUUCCAUUAGAUAGUAGGCGGGGUAACGGCCCACCUAGUCUUCGAUGGAUAGGGGUUCUGAGAGGAAGGUCCCCCACAUUGGAACUGAGACACGGUCCAAACUCCUACGGGAGGCAGCAGUGAGGAAUAUUGGUCAAUGGGCGCAGGCCUGAACCAGCCAAGUAGCGUGAAGGAUGACUGCCCUAUGGGUUGUAAACUUCUUUUAUAAAGGAAUAAAGUCGGGUAUGCAUACCCGUUUGCAUGUACUUUAUGAAUAAGGAUCGGCCAACUCCGUGCCAGCAGCCGCGGUAAUACGGAGGAUCCGAGCGUUAUCCGGAUUUAUUGGGUUUAAAGGGAGCGUAGAUGGAUGUUUAAGUCAGUUGUGAAAGUUUGCGGCUCAACCGUAAAAUUGCAGUUGAUACUGGAUAUCUUGAGUGCAGUUGAGGCAGGCGGAAUUCGUGGUGUAGCGGUGAAAUGCUUAGAUAUCACGAAGAACUCCGAUUG